Molecule: ribosomal RNA, 293 nt
Filed under: uncultured Pseudomonadota bacterium
Lineage: Bacteria; Pseudomonadati; Pseudomonadota
Description: uncultured proteobacterium partial 16S ribosomal RNA
Rfam family: Bacterial small subunit ribosomal RNA
Source: RNAcentral
UGUGCUAAUACCGCAUAUCUCUCAGGAGGAAAGCAGGGGAUCGAAAGACCUUGCGCUUAAAGGAGCGGCUGAUGUCUGAUUAGCUAGUUGGUGGGGUAAAGGCUUGCCAAGGCAACGAUCAGUAGCUGGUCUGAGAGGACGACCAGCCACACUGGGACUGAGACACGGCCCAGACUCCUACGGGAGGCAGCAGUGGGGAAUUUUGGACAAUGGGCGAAAGCCUGAUCCAGCCAUGCCGCGUGAGUGAAGAAGGCCUUCGGGUUGUAAAGCUCUUUUAGUCGGAAAGAAAGAGU